AUUAGAAGCACUAACAUUUAUUCAUUUAGUAGUGGAAGUCAUACUCAAAGGUCCAAAUCUUCCUAUAUGUGAAAUGACCAUGAUGGAACCUCAAAGUCCCAAGGAUCAGGUAAGGCUCCUCAUCGUAGAUUCUCGGUGUCAAGAUCUGGCAAUUCAGUAUCAAGGUUCAGCGAUCGACAGUAGGAAAAGUUACAAUUGGUAGUAAUUUUCCAGCAUUUUAUGUAAUGCUCUCUGUCAUGUGAUCUGUAAACUUGUAAAACCACACUUUCUUGCAAGCUUUAGUUUUUCAAACUAAUGUUCAAGUUUCCCUUUUCAGUUAUUCGUUCUGCUACUGUCAUAAUUCUGUCAUGCAUCUAUUCAACGUCUUUUUUUAUAGUUUCUGGCAGCCUUUAAAUAUCUUUCAAGUUCAACCACACAUUUUCUACUUGAACUAGUGUUUUUUUCCCAUUUUGUAUGUUGUUUUUCUACAUAAGGAGGCGGUGACCAUGUGCAAUUAUGAGAAUUCUCAUAGGAAAUUUGCAAUAACAAAAGUUAGUUUCACCAGGGUGCUUUGGUUUCUGUAUAGAGGCACAAAAUAUGAAGUCGUGCGUAUAAAAAUCAAUAUCAAACAAUUUUGGAGUUCUAGUAACAUUAUCAGUAAUUUUAAUUGAAACCAGUAUAGAAGCUAUGGAAAGUUCAGUAAUUUUAAUUGAAACCAGUAUAGAAGCUAUGGAAAGUUCAGUAAUUUAAAGACCUAUGAAGUUUAAAAGAGAAAGCAUUAGUUAGAAAAUUGGUCAAGCUAGUGACCUAAGAGCAACAAUUUAGACUUGUGUCAAGUUCAGGAGCCACCAAUAUAUAUUGACCUUUCCAUCUUUAAGUUAAUAUAAAAUAUCGGUCCAGUGUAUGAUCCUCCCAGUAGGGUCUUGAGCUGCUUUCAGCGUUGUGCCUAAAUUUGCUCUGUAUGAUAACUAUUUGGUAGUAUGCUACUGCUAUACUAUCCUCUUUAUAAUGAAUGACUUGUCCUCAUUCUGUAUCUUUUUGUUAGCUACUUUGGGAUGAUCUCCUCACAAAUUCCGACACCAACUUUGAGAAUGAAGAAGAAUUGUUCUGUAGCAAUUGACCUGGGUGGUCA
RNAcentral lists this long non-coding RNA (1111 nucleotides) under Lupinus angustifolius (narrow-leaved blue lupine). RNAcentral's name for it is "long non-coding RNA (LANG_LNC001984)". Lineage: Eukaryota; Viridiplantae; Streptophyta; Magnoliopsida; Fabales; Fabaceae. The record is from RNAcentral.